UUAUUCAGUCCUCUGGCAAAGUACUGGAUUUAUUUUCGUUAAUCAUUAGACUAGGGAAAUGCUUCGUAUGAAGAAGAAAAACUAGAGGAGGAUCGUAGUGUAUAUGGGAGAUGACUUCGUGUUCCAGUUGUUUGGGAAGCACAAAGAUAUGGAUGGAUGUGGGGUUAUGUCCUAGUUAUUGUGUCAGACUUGAUGGAGAAAACAAAGGUCUUGAUAAAGGGAAUAUGUCUAAAAUUGAUGACUAUCAGAAUUUGUUUGGUUUAAUGAAACAGAGGUUUAUGAGUUUCAAGAACUAGAAAUACAUGGUGGAAAUGAUCAUGAAAUCUAUGAAUCUGAACGGGCUAUCGAACACACAGGUUAGUACUUUGACUUUGUUAUCAUUUGUGCAAGAAAUAUGUUUGUUUCAGUGCCAUG
Molecule: long non-coding RNA, 414 nt
Organism: Vigna unguiculata (cowpea)
Lineage: Eukaryota; Viridiplantae; Streptophyta; Magnoliopsida; Fabales; Fabaceae
Source: RefSeq, a predicted model, not a curated record